AGCAGCCGCGGUAAUUCCAGCUCCAAUAGCGUAUAUUAAAGUUGUUGCAGUUAAAAGCUCGUAGUUGAAUUUCGAGAUCAAAUUGUUGGUCGUGCCUCGGUACGCACUGGCAUUAUUGAUUUCUCCCUUCUGACGAUCCGCGAUGUCAUUAAUUUGGUGUCGCGGGGAAUCAGGACUGUUACUUUGAAAAAUUGAGUGUUUAAAGCAGGCUCACGCUUGAAUACAUUAGCAUGGAAUAAUGAAAUAGGACGUUUGAUUCUAUUUUGUUGGUUUCUAGGAUCGACGUAAUGAUUAAUAGGGAUAGUUGGGGGCAUUAGUAUUCAAUUGUCAGAGGUGAAAUUCUUGGAUUUAUUGAAGACUAACUACUGCGAA
RNAcentral lists this ribosomal RNA (372 nucleotides) under uncultured Glomeromycotina. Its description in RNAcentral is "SSU rRNA". It matches the Rfam family "Eukaryotic small subunit ribosomal RNA", at positions 569 to 949 of the family's 1831-position model. The record is from RNAcentral. Lineage: Eukaryota; Fungi; Glomeromycota.